UACAGAGGUCCCAAGCGUUGUUCGGAUUCAUUGGGCGUAAAGCGCGCGUAGGCGGACAUCUAAGUCAGGGGUGAAAUGCCGGGGCUUAACCUCGGAACUGCCUUUGAUACUGGAAGUCUGGAGUUCGGGAGAGGUGAGUGGAAUUCCGAGUGUAGAGGUGAAAUUCGUAGAUAUUCGGAGGAACACCAGAGGCGAAGGCGGCUCACUGGUCCGGUACUGACGCUGAGGUGCGAAAGCGUGGGGAGCAAACAGG
RNAcentral lists this ribosomal RNA (253 nucleotides) under uncultured bacterium. RNAcentral describes it as "partial 16S ribosomal RNA". It matches the Rfam family "Bacterial small subunit ribosomal RNA", at positions 524 to 776 of the family's 1533-position model. The record is from RNAcentral.